ACUACGGGUGGCAGCAGUGAGGAAUAUUGGUCAAUGGGCGGGAGCCUGAACCAGCCAAGUCGCGUGAGGGACGACGGUCCUAUGGAUUGUAAACCUCUUUUGUCGGGGAACAAAGGCGCCCACGGGUGGGCGGAUGAGUGUAUCCGAAGAAAAAGCAUCGGCUAACUCCGUGCCAGCAGCCGCGGUAAUACGGGGGAUGCGAGCGUUAUCCGGAUUUAUUGGGGUUAAAGGGUGCGUAGGCGGACAGUCAAGUCAGCGGUAAAAAUGCGGUGCGCAACGCCGUACCGCCGGUGAAACUGGGAGUCUUGAGUGGGCGAGAAGUAUGCGGAAUGCGGGGGGUAGCGGUGAAAUGCAUAGGUAUCACGCAGAACUCCGAUUGCGAAGGCAGCAUACCGGCGCCCUACUGACGCUGAGGCACGAAAGCGUGGGUAUCGAACAGGAUUAGAUACCCCUGUAGUC
This 459-nucleotide ribosomal RNA is filed under the name uncultured bacterium. RNAcentral's name for it is "partial 16S ribosomal RNA". It matches the Rfam family "Bacterial small subunit ribosomal RNA", at positions 338 to 795 of the family's 1533-position model. The record is from RNAcentral.